Molecule: transfer RNA, 72 nt
Filed under: Camelus bactrianus (Bactrian camel)
Lineage: Eukaryota; Metazoa; Chordata; Mammalia; Artiodactyla; Camelidae
Also listed under: 1 other name
Rfam family: tRNA
About the family: Transfer RNA (tRNA) molecules are approximately 80 nucleotides in length. Their secondary structure includes four short double-helical elements and three loops (D, anti-codon, and T loops). Further hydrogen bonds mediate the characteristic L-shaped molecular structure. tRNAs have two regions of fundamental functional importance: the anti-codon, which is responsible for specific mRNA codon recognition, and the 3' end, to which the tRNAs corresponding amino acid is attached (by aminoacyl-tRNA synthetases). tRNAs cope with the degeneracy of the genetic code in two manners: having more than one tRNA (with a specific anti-codon) for a particular amino acid; and 'wobble' base-pairing, i.e. permitting non-standard base-pairing at the 3rd anti-codon position.
Source: Rfam by way of RNAcentral
GGGUAUAUAGCUCAGUAGUAGAGCGCAUGCUUAGCAUGCAUGAGGACCCAGUUUCAAUCCCCAGUACUUCCA